Molecule: ribosomal RNA, 459 nt
Filed under: uncultured bacterium
Lineage: Bacteria
Description: partial 16S ribosomal RNA
Rfam family: Bacterial small subunit ribosomal RNA
Source: RNAcentral
CCUACGGGGUGCAGCAGUGAGGAAUAUUGGUCAAUGGUCGGGAGACUGAACCAGCCAAGCCGCGUGAGGGAGGAAGGUACAGAGUAUCGUAAACCUCUUUUGUCAGGGAACAAAGGCGGGGACGUGUCCCCGGAUGAGUGUACCUGAAGAAAAAGCAUCGGCUAACUCCGUGCCAGCAGCCGCGGUAAUACGGAGGAUGCGAGCGUUAUCCGGAUUUAUUGGGUUUAAAGGGUGCGCAGGCGGGCUGUUAAGUCAGCGGUAAAAGCCCGGGGCUCAACCCCGGCCCGCCGUUGAGACUGGCAGUCUCGAGUUGGAGAGAAGUAUGCGGAAUGCGCGGUGUAGCGGUGAAAUGCAUAGAUAUCGCGCAGAACUCCGAUUGCGAAGGCAGCAUGCCGGCUCCACACUGACGCUGAGGCACGAAAGCGUGGGUAUCGAACAGGAUUAGAUACCCUUGUAGUC